CCGUGGUCUUCCGCAGGCGCCGUUGCCGCGACCUGCCCCAGGCGCCGCCACCGCGAACUGCCAAGGCCGCCGCCGCGACCUGCCUUAGGCCCAUACUAGUUCGCAAGUCCUUGUAGAUACGGCCUUUGAAGUUGCAGAGAAAUUGCUUUCGUUCUAAUUGUAAUUCUGUACUACUAUAGUAUUUGCAGUUUUUUUUCUGUCAUUAACUCAUGAUUCUUUUACUGUCCAUCGGUGUUGAGGCAAGAAUCGACCUGCAGAUUUUGUGUUCUCUCUUCCACAAUGUGAUGCAGACAGACGUGCAGCUAACGCAGGCAAGUGUUCAAAAAAUUUGUGUCAAGAUCGAUGAUGAAUUUGAUGAUGUUUAUGCAAAUUUGCCGAGCAAGCUCCGUCUGCUGCAAAGGGUGUUUUGGAUAAAAGCUACUCCUAUUACUUACCACCAUGAAUGAAUAUCAGUUCAGAAGCACUAAAACGACCAGUUGAAGUAAACAAUGCCAUUACUUUUAAAACUAAUGUUGAUCUGUUUUGUGGAUCCACAGACCAAAAGCACACAGACAAUUGUACCUGAGAGGAAGAUCAAAGAACAAAGGUGCAUGGAGAAAACCUAC
RNAcentral lists this long non-coding RNA (605 nucleotides) under Triticum aestivum (bread wheat). Its description in RNAcentral is "long non-coding RNA (TAES_LNC013278)". Lineage: Eukaryota; Viridiplantae; Streptophyta; Magnoliopsida; Poales; Poaceae. The record is from RNAcentral.